Molecule: long non-coding RNA, 792 nt
Organism: Cryptomeria japonica (Japanese cedar)
Lineage: Eukaryota; Viridiplantae; Streptophyta; Pinopsida; Cupressales; Cupressaceae
Exons: 2
Source: RefSeq, a predicted model, not a curated record
AGGAAAGCAGCCACCUCAUCAUUUUAUUUGGCUCCUAAUAUUCCCAACACAUGCCACGAUGAAACACAAUGUAAGGUGUGGCACUUAGGAAAUAAACAAGCUGGCCUUUGAAGGGAAAGAUGUGUCACAUAAACAAAACAUUGGGGGGAUUUAAAUUCAAAAUCAAAUCAUAAGAAGAGGAGGGCAGGCCCGAAUAUGAUCUACAGUAGAAGAGCAUAAAACCCUCAAUUUGAACAAGGCAGAGAUAAAGGUAGUUAACUUCCAGCAUGGGGGAAAGGUGAAUCAAACUUAUUUUGAAGGUGAAAAAAUAAAAGACUCAGGCAAAUCAGAGCAAGAUCAGACCUAAAUGAAUUCAGGAAGCAAGUGAACAAAUCGACUUGAUCAUGAUGGGAGAAGGAUUCAAAACCUAAGUUCAAGGUGAAGUAUUGAGGAAUGGUGAAGGAAUUGAACCAAAAGAAGAAUUUCGCUCAUGUCCCUCUCUAAGGGUCCAGAGCAAAAUCUCUUGGAAGAACCUCCUAUCUCACCUAAAGCGCUAAGAAGAUCUUGUUUUAAGCAAAGUAGGGAGCAGAUUGACUUGAGCAAAGUGAUAGGAAUGAAGGAAUUGAAUCGAAAGAAGAAUUUCGCUCUUGACCCUUCCAAAGGUACGGGAGCGAAAUCUCUUGAAGAAGAGUGUUUUGUUAAUCAAAAUAUCAAGACAAGCCUUCUUUAAGCAUUUGUUGCAGGAUGAGCCUUCCAAUGAUAAUGAAAAUUGAGUAUGUGAAAGAGAAAAUUAAGAUCAACCCUUAGUUCGCU